This 555-nucleotide ribosomal RNA is filed under the name uncultured bacterium. RNAcentral's name for it is "bacterial SSU rRNA". It matches the Rfam family "Bacterial small subunit ribosomal RNA", at positions 772 to 1319 of the family's 1533-position model. The record is from RNAcentral.
ACUCAAUAGAUACCCCGGUAGUCCACGCCGUAAACGAUGGAUGCUAGAUGUUUCCGGUAUUGACCCCGGAGGUGUCGUAGCUAAACGCGUUAAGCAUCCCGCCUGGGGAGUACGGCCGCAAGGCUAAAACUCAAAGGAAUUGACGGGGGCCCGGCACAAGCGGUGGAGCAUGUGGUUCAAAUUCGACGCAACGCGAAGAACCUUACCUGGGUUGGAACCCUCCAGAAGUCCGCAGAGAUGUGGAUGUGCCCGCAAGGGAGCUGGAUGUCCAGGUGCUGCAUGGCUGUCGUCAGCUCGUGUCGUGAGAUGUUGGGUUAAGUCCCGCAACGAGCGCAACCCUUGUCGUUAGUUGCCAGCGGUUCGGCCGGGCACUCUAACGAGACUGCCGGUGUUAAACCGGAGGAAGGUGGGGAUGACGUCAAGUCCUCAUGGCCCUUAUGCCCAGGGCUACACACGUGCUACAAUGGCCGGUACAAAGGGUCGCAAACCCGCGAGGGCCAGCUAAUCCCAAAAAAACCGGGCCUCAGUUCAGAUUGAAGUCUGCAACUCGACUUC